CUUGCCUUAUAUAAGAGGUCUAGCCUGCCCAGUGACAUUGUUCAACGGCCGCGGUAUCCUAACCGUGCGAAGGUAGCGUAAUCACUUGUUCUUUAAAUGAGGACUAGUAUGAAAGGCAUCACGAGAGUCAUACUGUCUCCUUUCUCUAAUCAGUGAAACUAAUCUCCCCGUGAAGAAGCGGGGAUAAGAACAUAAGACGAGAAGACCCUAUGGAGCUUUAAACAAAUGAUAUAUACCCCUUUUAACUUCAAAUUUCAGAAAAAUCUCUUACCUUGGUAUAAUAAUUAAUAGUUUUUGGUUGGGGUGACCACGGAACAAAAAACAACUUCCACAAUGAAAGAUUCUCCUCCACUAAGUUAAGGACUACAGCCCUAUACAUCAAUAAAUUGACAUUAAU
Molecule: ribosomal RNA, 397 nt
Filed under: Adenomera hylaedactyla (Napo tropical bullfrog)
Lineage: Eukaryota; Metazoa; Chordata; Amphibia; Anura; Leptodactylidae
Description: partial 16S ribosomal RNA
Rfam family: Bacterial large subunit ribosomal RNA
Source: RNAcentral